GCCGGUGUGGCGGAAUUGGCAGACGCAGAGGAUUCAAAAUCCUCCGCCCUAAAAGGCUUGCAGGUUCAAUUCCUGUCACCGGCA
This 84-nucleotide transfer RNA is filed under the name Planctomycetota bacterium. Its description in RNAcentral is "Planctomycetes bacterium tRNA-Leu". It matches the Rfam family "tRNA". From Rfam's summary of the family: Transfer RNA (tRNA) molecules are approximately 80 nucleotides in length. Their secondary structure includes four short double-helical elements and three loops (D, anti-codon, and T loops). The record is from RNAcentral. Lineage: Bacteria; Pseudomonadati; Planctomycetota.